GCGCCCGUAGCUCAGUCGGAUAGAGCGACCGCCUCCUAAGCGGUAGGUCGGAGGUUCGAAUCCCCUCGGGCGCGCCA
This 77-nucleotide transfer RNA is filed under the name Anaerotruncus massiliensis (ex Togo et al. 2026). Its description in RNAcentral is "Anaerotruncus massiliensis (ex Togo et al. 2019) tRNA-Arg". It matches the Rfam family "tRNA". From Rfam's summary of the family: Transfer RNA (tRNA) molecules are approximately 80 nucleotides in length. Their secondary structure includes four short double-helical elements and three loops (D, anti-codon, and T loops). Further hydrogen bonds mediate the characteristic L-shaped molecular structure. tRNAs have two regions of fundamental functional importance: the anti-codon, which is responsible for specific mRNA codon recognition, and the 3' end, to which the tRNAs corresponding amino acid is attached (by aminoacyl-tRNA synthetases). tRNAs cope with the degeneracy of the genetic code in two manners: having more than one tRNA (with a specific anti-codon) for a particular amino acid; and 'wobble' base-pairing, i.e. permitting non-standard base-pairing at the 3rd anti-codon position. Lineage: Bacteria; Bacillati; Bacillota; Clostridia; Eubacteriales; Oscillospiraceae. RNAcentral also lists the same sequence under 3 other names. The record is from RNAcentral.